This is a long non-coding RNA of Cyprinus carpio (common carp), 1134 nucleotides long. NCBI's taxonomy places the organism in Eukaryota, Metazoa, Chordata, Actinopteri, Cypriniformes, Cyprinidae. The record is from Ensembl.
GGCAUCAUGAAGCACCUUUAUUUUAAAGAGUGAAGGGUUAGCUGGAGUAAUUUACUGCAUUAUUUACUGUUAAUACUAUAGUAAGAACUUGUAACAUGCAACAAGGACACUAAAAUAAAGUAUUAGCAAUCCGAAAAUGCCAAGAUUAAGUUGCAUGUCUAGGCUUUUUAAUAAUAAAUGUCAGAUUUGUGAAUGAAUCAUUCAGACAUUCAGUCAUUCAAGUUUUAAGCACUAAUUGUUUCAUUGAACUGUUGUUUUGAUCUGUUUCAGAUCUGAAGAGGACCAGAGGGCCGCAGUAACUCCGACAGGGGUUCGUGCAGCCGGAGAGAGACAUGGAGGACUAAGUGAUCACUUUAUAAAUGAAAGCAGAUGCCUGGAAUUAUGAACUGUCGCUCCGCAGAUGGAGAACGUCGUUGAUGAAGCGCUUCCCGACCCCACUCAUGAUCACUCACUUCUGAAGCUCGCGUGUGUUCCGCCGUCACGCGUGUACCAACACAAUCACGCUUGAGUGAACGGGUUAAACCUGCUCUCAGACACAUGAUUAGGGUCCCGUUCCCCCCGUUCCUUGCGAUGCUUCGUAUUUUGCACCCGAGCAUCACGUUUGAUUGAUCUGGUUGUUGUAGCAUUUGUGAUUGAUGGCGGUUGUUGCACGGCACAAGCCCGCCAGCGCUUCUCCGAAAGCGAGCAAAGAAGGGCCUGUCAGUGUCAUUGAUCUUCUUAUAAAUGAAAUGUUCCGUUUCCCGCUGCAUUUUAUUGUUAAAUGCAGUUCAUUAGCGACGAAGAGAUUUAUCACCGAUGCUCUGUGUCGAGUGAAUCACUGCACUACAACAGAGCAUGCCACGCUGCCUGGUAGGCCGAGCCAACCUGAGGGCAAAACCAUCCAUCUCAUGUGGGAUCUGUCACUGAGAACGAUGCUGACCCAGAAUAUACCAUCUUGUCCUAAAUACCUGCAAAGCUGCCAAAGGAUGUGGUUAAAUGAAGGCCAUCAUGCACUAGGUAUUGCCAUCUUUUCUGUAACUGUAAAGUUGUAAGUUUUUACCAUAGCUUUGCAGGCUAUGUGCUUCGCUUCUGAAGUGACUCUCUGCUUUGUGUUUCAUCUUUAGUCUACAAUUUUUCCAAUUAUGCAAUAAUGCA